Molecule: ribosomal RNA, 1695 nt
Filed under: Escherichia coli
Lineage: Bacteria; Pseudomonadati; Pseudomonadota; Gammaproteobacteria; Enterobacterales; Enterobacteriaceae
Description: bacterial LSU rRNA
Rfam family: Bacterial large subunit ribosomal RNA
Source: RNAcentral
GAAGGUGUGCUGUGAGGCAUGCUGGAGGUAUCAGAAGUGCGAAUGCUGACAUAAGUAACGAUAAAGCGGGUGAAAAGCCCGCUCGCCGGAAGACCAAGGGUUCCUGUCCAACGUUAAUCGGGGCAGGGUGAGUCGACCCCUAAGGCGAGGCCGAAAGGCGUAGUCGAUGGGAAACAGGUUAAUAUUCCUGUACUUGGUGUUACUGCGAAGGGGGGACGGAGAAGGCUAUGUUGGCCGGGCGACGGUUGUCCCGGUUUAAGCGUGUAGGCUGGUUUUCCAGGCAAAUCCGGAAAACUAAGGCUGAGGCGUGAUGACGAGGCACUACGGUGCUGAAGCAACAAAUGCCCUGCUUCCAGGAAAAGCCUCUAAGCAUCAGGUAACAUCAAAUCGUACCCCAAACCGACACAGGUGGUCAGGUAGAGAAUACCAAGGCGCUUGAGAGAACUCGGGUGAAGGAACUAGGCAAAAUGGUGCCGUAACUUCGGGAGAAGGCACGCUGAUAUGUAGGUGAAGUCCCUCGCGGAUGGAGCUGAAAUCAGUCGAAGAUACCAGCUGGCUGCAACUGUUUAUUAAAAACACAGCACUGUGCAAACACGAAAGUGGACGUAUACGGUGUGACGCCUGCCCGGUGCCGGAAGGUUAAUUGAUGGGGUUAGCGGUAACGCGAAGCUCUUGAUCGAAGCCCCGGUAAACGGCGGCCGUAACUAUAACGGUCCUAAGGUAGCGAAAUUCCUUGUCGGGUAAGUUCCGACCUGCACGAAUGGCGUAAUGAUGGCCAGGCUGUCUCCACCCGAGACUCAGUGAAAUUGAACUCGCUGUGAAGAUGCAGUGUACCCGCGGCAAGACGGAAAGACCCCGUGAACCUUUACUAUAGCUUGACACUGAACAUUGAGCCUUGAUGUGUAGGAUAGGUGGGAGGCUUAGAAGUGUGGACGCCAGUCUGCAUGGAGCCGACCUUGAAAUACCACCCUUUAAUGUUUGAUGUUCUAACGUGGACCCGUGAUCCGGGUUGCGGACAGUGUCUGGUGGGUAGUUUGACUGGGGCGGUCUCCUCCUAAAGAGUAACGGAGGAGCACGAAGGUUGGCUAAUCCUGGUCGGACAUCAGGAGGUUAGUGCAAUGGCAUAAGCCAGCUUGACUGCGAGCGUGACGGCGCGAGCAGGUGCGAAAGCAGGUCAUAGUGAUCCGGUGGUUCUGAAUGGAAGGGCCAUCGCUCAACGGAUAAAAGGUACUCCGGGGAUAACAGGCUGAUACCGCCCAAGAGUUCAUAUCGACGGCGGUGUUUGGCACCUCGAUGUCGGCUCAUCACAUCCUGGGGCUGAAGUAGGUCCCAAGGGUAUGGCUGUUCGCCAUUUAAAGUGGUACGCGAGCUGGGUUUAGAACGUCGUGAGACAGUUCGGUCCCUAUCUGCCGUGGGCGCUGGAGAACUGAGGGGGGCUGCUCCUAGUACGAGAGGACCGGAGUGGACGCAUCACUGGUGUUCGGGUUGUCAUGCCAAUGGCACUGCCCGGUAGCUAAAUGCGGAAGAGAUAAGUGCUGAAAGCAUCUAAGCACGAAACUUGCCCCGAGAUGAGUUCUCCCUGACUCCUUGAGAGUCCUGAAGGAACGUUGAAGACGACGACGUUGAUAGGCCGGGUGUGUAAGCGCAGCGAUGCGUUGAGCUAACCGGUACUAAUGAACCGUGAGGCUUAACCUU